CAUAGUCUUCUCUUGAGUAAGACAGCUGAACUUGAGCUUCCUCCCUCUCACACCUCAGCCUGUAUUCCUCCUGAGCAGUCCUCUCUCUACCCAACCACUCAUCGUGAAGCCGCAGCCUUUCAGAAAACACAAACAGAAAGAACAGAACUCAUCGUGAAGCCGCAGUCUUACAGAAAAUACAAACAGAAAGGACAGAACUCAUUCUGGUGGAUUAAAGAGGUCUGUUCAUCACUACAGGCUCAAGAAGACGGAUAUACCUUUCCUGCUCAGCAACAUCCUCUUCUUCAUUUAUUUCCUCUUCCUCUAAAGGUCCAUUGAUUGUUUCAUUGUUGAACCCUAUGAAAGGAGAAAUGUUGUGGUUAAUGUGAAGGAACAAGUGUAUGAAUAUAUAAAUAUAUAAUAACA
Molecule: long non-coding RNA, 405 nt
Organism: Notolabrus celidotus (New Zealand spotty)
Lineage: Eukaryota; Metazoa; Chordata; Actinopteri; Labriformes; Labridae
Exons: 2
Source: RefSeq, a predicted model, not a curated record